Molecule: long non-coding RNA, 1267 nt
Organism: Leucoraja erinaceus (little skate)
Lineage: Eukaryota; Metazoa; Chordata; Chondrichthyes; Rajiformes; Rajidae
Exons: 2
Source: RefSeq, a predicted model, not a curated record
CCGCAGAGACCAUCUUUGGCCGGAAACCAUGGUUACCGCCGCUCCCCGCUGGUCACCCAACACCGGCGGCUGGGGUUUACCGACAAAACUCAAAGCUCAGGGAUCUUUCUUUUGGAAAGAAGAGGCGCUUCACACUGGGACCGUGCCGUUCACGCAGUUGGCAGAGUGAAGGGAAUCUCGGGCGAUCAUGGUUCGUGUGAGCAAGCGAACUCUCGACUGGAUUUAUUCUUUUAUACUCCUCUUCCUCGUUUUAAUAUCUUGGGGAUUUGUUAUCUAUGCAUCCAAGAUGACAGCUAUUCAGUAUCUAGAGGAGAAUUUGACGCGUAGAAUUUCAUAAUGAUUCUUCUUCUCCGAGAUGACACGUGAUCACUCAUGGACCAAAUAUAACAGAGGCCAAGUGAAAUGUUCUGGCGUCUAUUACUCACAAAGGAAGAACACCGACCAAAAUUAAAUGUUCUACGCUUGCAAUUUGUUGUGAGCAUUGCAAAUAUGGUUCAAUAUAAACUGGUUUUGUGUAUUGGACGAUAGGUUCAGAGGAAAAGGUUUUGAUGUUUUAUUAAUUUAUAAUCUGUCACUUAAUUCUAAUGUGUGUGUGUAUAACAAAACUCUUAUGAAAGAUGUUACCCUCAUAAUAUUAGGUUCUCUAAACAUAAGAUACUGAUAUAUCAUUAAGGAAUUCAACAGAAUGGUGAGCAAGUUAAACUUGUCGCCAUAAAAUUGGAUAAUGCAUGUAACUUGGAUGAAUUUGAGGUGAAGCUGGAUAAAUACGUGAAGAAUGGUUUUAAGAAGAUAUGCGACAAAGUGAGUUGAAGAGGGAGUAUGUAACAAACAUAGGUACAGACUAACGGAGCUAAACAGCCAUUUUAUUCUGGAGGAGAAAGUAGUGCACCCUGCAACAGAUAUGCAAUUAACUGAUGUGAAUUGACCAUAACUGUGCUUGGUAUGGGGACACAGUAAAGGUGCCGCCGUGCUACCCAACUCCAAACUGCAGUUGUAUGCAAGAGAGUAUCAAUCUGGUCAACAGGAUAUGGGGGACCUCAUGAUGACACUACCCAUAGGGGUAACUACAUCUGGCUAAUUAUGAAUCAGAAAUAUGUUGCAUAAAAAACUGGAGCAUAGUUAUUGCCAUAUUGAACACAAUUAUAAUUAUUAGCUUUUUUGUUAUUGGAAUGCUUAUUGGUUUGUAUUUAAUGUACAUCUAUCCAUAGUUGGGCACAUACAUAGCUAUUUUCACUGACAAGCAAAUAAAGUUGUGAAAUUGAAAGUA